AUAGCAAAGUUUGCAAAUUUUGUAUACUUUUGUAUUGCAUGCGAAAAUUGCAAUACAAAAGUGUACAAAAUUUGCAAACUUUGUUUGGCUAU
RNAcentral lists this microRNA precursor (92 nucleotides) under Paramuricea clavata. Lineage: Eukaryota; Metazoa; Cnidaria; Anthozoa; Malacalcyonacea; Plexauridae. The record is from RNAcentral.